This 444-nucleotide long non-coding RNA is filed under the name Mytilus galloprovincialis (Mediterranean mussel). Lineage: Eukaryota; Metazoa; Mollusca; Bivalvia; Mytilida; Mytilidae. The record is from RNAcentral.
UUGCUACUCUUUGUCGGGUUAUUGUCUAUUUCCCCAUUUCAUUUCUCAAUUUGAUGAGUAUAUUAUAAUGUUUCACGACAUGACUUUAAAUUUAAUCAACAGCACAAUGAUAAACCUUGAUUACUUGUUAUAACUUACUUUGCACAGUUAAAACACCGGUCGUUUUUGGCCACUUAUAGUGAUACCAAUUUGGCUGAUAGAUCUGACAUGUAUAAUUCCCUGCAUCAGUCUCCGUUAAUGAUCGAAUAAUGAGUUGAUAAAUUUCACCAUAGUUUGAUAUAUAUUUCACCACCUUAUAUUUCAUUUGCCCUUCAACAACUUCAUCAAUAUGAACAGUUUCAUCAGAGGAUAAGUUUUUUUGGGGACUAGUUAGCGUGGCCGGUUUAAUCCAAUGCAUCUGUUACAAUAUAAUAUAAUUAUGUUAAGAAUAUUAUGGUGUCUUCC